Molecule: long non-coding RNA, 4163 nt
Organism: Mus musculus (house mouse)
Lineage: Eukaryota; Metazoa; Chordata; Mammalia; Rodentia; Muridae
Product: predicted gene, 40338
Exons: 3
Source: RefSeq, a predicted model, not a curated record
AUCACAAUAACGAUGUCUGUGUGAACAGGAGAGGUAUGGUGAGAGAAUUAGCAUGGAGGCUUAUCCCUAGAAAGUGACAAACCUUCAAGCCCCUCCCCCAUCUCUUUCUCCUUUUAAGGAUUUUUUUUUUUCAUGUAAAGGUGUCCAUGUAUAGAUAUGUGUAUGUGAGUGUUCUGCCCUUGAAGGGCAAAAGAAGGUGUCAAGUUCACCUAGGGCUGAGCUCAAGGUGGUUGUGAGCCACCUGCCAUGGAUUCUGGGAUCUAAACUCAGUAGUAGAUACUGAGCCAUCUCUCCAGGCCUUUUUAUCAUGAACACUCUUCCAUCUCUGUAUGAUUGGCAGUUCUAUAUGGUUUUCCCCACACAGCACUGUUACUGUUUGUUUGUUAUUUAUCUCUCUCUCUCUCUCUCUCUCUCUCUCUCUCUCUCUCUCUCUCUCUCUCUCUCUCCUUUUCCUUUCGGCUGGGACUAAAUUUCCUAUCUCCAAAUAGACCAUUCCUAUACUGGAUUUAAUAAGCAGUUUCGUUAGUUUCUUUGUGUGGGUGCGACUAUUUUUUUUUGUUGUUUUCAUUGAUUAUCUAAUUGAUUGCUUUCAAAGAUCUGAUUGGUCUGCAGCAGAAGGCUUGGAACUAAUUAAACCCAAAGUCGGGCAAAUCUCGACUCCCAGCUGCGCUUCCUCCCUCAAGGCUGCAGCCAGCGUGAACUGGCUCCAGCUUCAAGGUGUUAGCUGGCUGGCUUAGACCAGAGCAGAUGGUCAAGCCACUGUGAGUCUGUGAGGCCGGAUCACAGGAAGGAAUCACUUUCUGAAUUCCAGAAGCUAAAGAUGGCUCACGUAAGCCGAGACAUUAAUCUUGCAGCUUGGACCAGAAUGUAGACUUUGGAAAAGAGUCAAGUGGAAAAUCCCAUUUCUUUGUGCUCUUUGGAAGAAUAAUGAGAACGUACAGGCUGCACUGGUCUCUUUUCAUUUGCAGCUAUUGAAUUACCUGUUGGCUCAGCUCAUCUUUCUAUUUAAAAUGAGCAAUAAAAUAUACCCUGGGCCGCUGACUGCCUUCGAUACUUUUUACACACCGGUGGAGGUGGAAGCCAGAGGGAAAUUAGUCUCCUCUGCUCUCUCCCCCCACGUCUUCACCGAAGAGAUUCUCUUCGGGGGAUGCCCUUGGCAGCCAGCAGAAAGCAGAGCUACCAAGCAGCUUAGCUCUGACGUCACCUCUUCUGAGAAGCCAUUCCUAGUUUUCCCAGUAAGGAGGCUUGCUUUUUCUGAUUUUAUAUAUAAUAUAAUGUGUGGGGUUUGUGUGUGUGUGUGUGUGUGUGUGUGUGUGUGUGUGUGUGUGUAUGCGUUCACAUGUGUGAGAGCUGUGUGCUCACAUACAUCAAAGCCAGAGGUCAAGGUCGGGUGUUAUAGUCAAGUGCCUUGCCCCCUUAUUAUUAUUUUUAAGGUUUAUUUUUUAUUUAUGUAUCUAUGUGCAUAUCUGUGCUGCCUUGGAGCUGGCCUUACAGGCAGUUAGUUGCGAGCUGCCUGAUGUUUGUGCUGAGAGAUGAACUGGAGUCCUGUGGAAGAGCAGCAAACACUCUUAACUACUGAGCCAUCUUUCCAUGUCCUCCACCUUAGUUUUUGAAACAGUGUUUCUCGCUCAACUCAGAACUCAUUGAUUCCACUAGACUUGAUGACCAGGCAGCCACAAGAUACUUCUGCCUCCACCUCCCCCUGUGCUGGGAUGUCAGGGGCUCACCGCUUAUGUGAGUGUUUUAUGUGGGUGCAGGGGUCAGCACUCAAGGACUCAUGUUUACAUCACAAAAAUCUAACCAACCAACCAAGCAGUUCCCCAGUCCCCGUUUUGCUCUCUUAAUUGAAAAAGAAAAUUAAUAUUUUAUGUUAGUCUUCAAAGUAAUGGGUCUUAUUAUGGUAUUUCAUUACAUGCAAACCAUUACACUUUAUUCUUUCUCUCUCUGUGUGUGGUGUAUGUACACAUGUAUGUGCAUAGAUGUGCCUGCCUAUGGAAACUAGGGGAAGGUGUCAGGUGGCCUGUUCAAUAAUUUUCCAUCUUACUAACUCAAGACAGCCUCUCAGUGAACCUAGAGACAGGCUCUCAGGCAAUGAGCCUCAGCACGGCUCCUGUCUCCAGCCAUCACAGCUCUGGGGUUACAGGCAACACUCAGGGCUCUCCCUGGCUUUAUUAUAACAUUGGUGCUGGGCCUCUGGAUGCACAGCCUCAUGUUUACACAGCAAGCAUUUAUCAGCCGAGCCAUCCCCCCCCCCCCCCCAGCAUGAUUCUACAGCCCAGGAGAGCUUGGUCCCCUUCUCCAUGACUUUUUCUCAUUCCUGCUCCCCAACUUCACCCCAGGUUGUCCUGUGGUCAUGUGAACUACUGCAUCUCCUCUGCUCACCUGACGAAUCUCUAAUGCCCCCCCCCCCAAUAUAGGUGGGUGGGUGGGGCUUCAACAUGUGAAUUGCUUUCCCAAAGGGAUGUGGACAUGAGCUGAAGUUCUCACCAGUGUCGGAGAUUCUGCCAGUCUGAUCAGCUGUUAGGACUUCCAUGACUACGCAGGUCGGAUGGCUCAGUGGGUAAAGGCACCUGCUACUGGGCCUAACUAUUUGAGUAAAAUUCCUGAGAUCCAGAUGCCGGAAGGAGAGAACUAGUUCCUUCAAGGUGUCAUCAAUCUCCAUACAUGGUUUAUAGCAUGGGAUUGUGGAGACUUGAAAUGUUGAAGGUCACAGCUCCAAAUUAUCUUGGGCUAUCUGCCUACUGGCUUGCUUCCCCUGGCUUGCUAAGCUACCUUUCUUAUACUGCUAGCCUUACCUGUUGUUAUUGUUUUAGAGAAAUAACUUGUUUUUUUUUUUCCAUUUUUUAUUAGGUAUUUAGCUCAUUUACAUUAACUUGUUUUUGAGACAAGGACUCGAGUGUCCCAGACUGGCCUUGAAUUUACUAACCACCACAAUGAUCUUUAUAGUUAAUUUUGAUUGUCACCUUGUCAUCAUCUAGAAUCAAACCAGAUGUCUAAGACAGUGUGUCUGUGAGAUAAUUUCUAGACUGGUAAUUGAAGUGGCACAACCCUACCUAAGGGCUGGAGUCCUGGACUGAAUAAAAAGGAGAAAGCUGAGCACCAGCAUCCAUCUCUCUCUGCUUCCCGACUGUGGACACAAUGUAACCAACUGUCUCACCCUCCUGCUGUCAAGCCUUCCCCUGCUGUGAUGGACUGUGCACCCUCAAAUCAGGAGGUGACUUUCAUCGGGGAUUUCGUCAUAUCGAUGAGGAAAAGUAAUAAUACCAGAUGAAAAGGAAGUGGUAAAAAAAGCCACGGAGAACUCAACACCCUUCUUGGCAUGAAGCUAGCUCUGUAUCCCUUGUGCAAAGAUCAAAGGGUUUUAAGAAAUCUGAAUGAGAAUUGCAGAGCUGUGCAGAUAGCCUGAGGAAGCCAUGUCAGAGGUGACAAAUAAUGGGCACAGAUGAAAGUGCUUCAGCUAGCCAUACAAAGAAACUAUUUGGAACAGAAGUAUUAAGGGAGAUGGUAUAAAAGUUAGGCAGAGAGUAAGGGGACGAACACUCACCACUGCAGCACACAUUUGCACAGAAAAAUAUAACACCACCGGGCUGGGGAAGUCUUUCACCUGUGCAAAGACUGAUAAGCCUACCAGAACACAGUUAAUAUGGUGGCCAAUUGGAAGUCCUGCCAGUGGCAAUGGAUUAAACACUAUUCGUUUGGGAAAAAAAAGCAUCUGAGAAAGAAAUGGGGUUGUGGAGAUGGCGCAUGGUAAAUCACUUGCUAUACAAGCUUGACGACUCAAGAUUGGAUCCCCAGCACCCAUUAAAAGCUAGGCUCGGUGACAUGAACCUGUAAUCCCAAUGCUAGGUGGGGGAGGAUGUAGACAGGAAGGUCCCUGAGGCUUUGUGACUGCCAGCCUAGCUCCAGGUUUAAUGACGGAUCCUGUUUCUAAGGAUUAAGGUGGAAGAUGAUUAAAGAAGAUACUGAGCAUCAACUCCUGGCCUCUCUACUCAGGCCCCCAUGGGAGCACAUGUGUGCAUGUGCGUGCGGACAAUACACACGCACACAUGUGCAUAUGAAUAGAAAGAGCUGAGGGUGUUGCUCAGUGGCAGUGCAUAUCCAGGGCCUUGGUUCAAUCCCUAAUGCUGGGAGAAAAAAAAAAUAAAGUUAUUCUUAACACUUUA